RNAcentral lists this ribosomal RNA (497 nucleotides) under uncultured bacterium. RNAcentral's name for it is "partial 16S ribosomal RNA". It matches the Rfam family "Bacterial small subunit ribosomal RNA", at positions 28 to 507 of the family's 1533-position model. The record is from RNAcentral.
GAUGAACGCUGGCGGCGUGCCUAAUACAUGCAAGUCGAGCGAACGGACGAGAAGCUUGCUUCUCUGAUGUUAGCGGCGGACGGGCGAGUAACACGUGGAUAACCUACCUAUAAGACUGGGAUAACUUCGGGAAACCGGAGCUAAUACCGGAUAAUAUUUUGAACCGCACGGUUCAAAAGUGAAAGACGGUCUUGCUGUCACUUAUAGAUGGAUCCGCGCUGCAUUAGCUAGUUGGUAAGGUAACGGCUUACCAAGGCAACGAUGCAUAGCCGACCUGAGAGGGUGAUCGGCCACACUGGAACUGAGACACGGUCCAGACUCCUACGGGAGGCAGCAGUAGGGAAUCUUCCGCAAUGGGCGAAAGCCUGACGGAGCAACGCCGCGUGAGUGAUGAAGGUCUUCGGAUCGUAAAACUCUGUUAUUAGGGAAGAACAUAUGUGUAAGUAACUGUGCACAUCUUGACGGUACCUAAUCAGAAAGCCACGGCUAACUACGUG